This 58-nucleotide transfer RNA is filed under the name Frullania inflata. Its description in RNAcentral is "partial tRNA-Leu". The record is from RNAcentral. Lineage: Eukaryota; Viridiplantae; Streptophyta; Jungermanniopsida; Porellales; Frullaniaceae. RNAcentral also lists the same sequence under 3 other names.
CGGACUUGAAAAUCCGUUGGCUUUAUAGACCAUGAGGGUUCAAGUCCCUCUACCCCCA